Molecule: ribosomal RNA, 253 nt
Filed under: uncultured bacterium
Lineage: Bacteria
Description: partial 16S ribosomal RNA
Rfam family: Bacterial small subunit ribosomal RNA
Source: RNAcentral
UACAGAGGUCUCAAGCGUUGUUCGGAAUUACUGGGCGUAAAGAGUGCGUAGGCGGUGCUCUAAGUCUGUUGUGAAAUCUCCCGGCUCAACUGGGAGGGUGCGGCGGAAACUAGAGUGCUAGAGUGUGGGAGAGGUAAGCGGAAUUCCUGGUGUAGCGGUGAAAUGCGUAGAUAUCAGGAGGAACACCUGCGGUGUAGACAGCUUACUGGACCACGACUGACGCUGAUGCACGAAAGCUAGGGGAGCAAACAGG